UCUGGUAUUGAUUGGUGCUUGCAUCAUGAUUUACAUUUGAGUGAGUGGCGAACUGGUGAGUAACACGUGGGAAACCUGCCCAGAAGCGGGGGAUAACACCUGGAAACAGAUGCUAAUACCGCAUAACAACUUGGACCGCAUGGUCCGAGCUUGAAAGAUGGCUUCGGCUAUCACUUUUGGAUGGUCCCGCGGCGUAUUAGCUAGAUGGUGGGGUAACGGCUCACCAUGGCAAUGAUACGUAGCCGACCUGAGAGGGUAAUCGGCCACAUUGGGACUGAGACACGGCCCAAACUCCUACGGGAGGCAGCAGUAGGGAAUCUUCCACAAUGGACGAAAGUCUGAUGGAGCAACGCCGCGUGAGUGAAGAAGGGUUUCGGCUCGUAAAACUCUGUUGUUAAAGAAGAACAUAUCUGAGAGUAACUGUUCAGGUAUUGACGGUAUUUAACCAGAAAGCCACGGCUAACUACGUGCCAGCAGCCGCGGUAAUACGUAGGUGGCAAGCGUUGUCCGGAUUUAUUGGGCGUAAAGCGAGCGCAGGCGGUUUUUUAAGUCUGAUGUGAAAGCCUUCGGCUCAACCGAAGAAGUGCAUCGGAAACUG
This 598-nucleotide ribosomal RNA is filed under the name Lactiplantibacillus plantarum. RNAcentral describes it as "bacterial SSU rRNA". It matches the Rfam family "Bacterial small subunit ribosomal RNA", at positions 62 to 635 of the family's 1533-position model. The record is from RNAcentral. Lineage: Bacteria; Bacillati; Bacillota; Bacilli; Lactobacillales; Lactobacillaceae.